AUUGCAUUAUUUCAUAAUUGAAAGGUGGAGCAAUGUCAAACUCAUCAGGUGAUGCAGGGGUGUGGUUGUGGAUUGCUUCAAUCCAUUGGUCCAACUCUUGGAGCCUCCAUUCAACUUCAAGAUCUCGAGUGGCACGAGUUGCUGAUUGAUGAGGAGAUCGAUGGUCCAGAUUUGAAUCAUGCCCCAACAAGAGGCUAAAGGCGCAUCGUCUUCUUGGAUCUGGGCUUCUGGGGUGG
Molecule: long non-coding RNA, 236 nt
Filed under: Elaeis guineensis (African oil palm)
Lineage: Eukaryota; Viridiplantae; Streptophyta; Magnoliopsida; Arecales; Arecaceae
Description: long non-coding RNA (EGUI_LNC015975)
Source: RNAcentral